GACGAACGCUGGCGGCGUGCCUAAUACAUGCGAGUUGAGCGCUGAAGGUUGGUACUUGUACCAACUGGAUGAGCAGCGAACGGGUGAGUAACGCGUGGGGAAUCUGCCUUUGAGCGGGGGACAACAUUUGGAAACGAAUGCUAAUACCGCAUAAAAACUUUAAACACAAGUUUUAAGUUUAAAAGAUGCAAUUGCAUCACUCAAAGAUGAUCCCGCGUUGUAUUAGCUAGUUGGUGAGGUAAAGGCUCACCAAGGCGAUGAUACAUAGCCGACCUGAGAGGGUGAUCGGCCACAUUGGGACUGAGACACGGCCCAAACUCCUACGGGAGGCAGCAGCAGGGAAUCUUCGGCAAUAGACGAAAGUCUGACCGAGCAACGCCGCGUGAGUGAAGAAGGUUUUCGGAUCGUAAAACUCUGUUGGUAGAGAAGAACGUUGGUGAGAGUGGAAAGCUCAUCAAGUGACGGUAACUACCCAGAAAGGGACGGCUAACUACGUG
This 497-nucleotide ribosomal RNA is filed under the name uncultured bacterium. RNAcentral's name for it is "partial 16S ribosomal RNA". It matches the Rfam family "Bacterial small subunit ribosomal RNA", at positions 28 to 507 of the family's 1533-position model. The record is from RNAcentral.